UUUGAACAAGCUGCUUUUCACCCCCUUGUCCAAAUCACUGAUGAAGAUAUUAAACAGUGCAGACCCAAGGACUGAGCCCUGGGAAACUCCACUGCGCACGUCCCUUGAGGUCAAACUGACUCAUCCACCACCACUCUGGGUGCGACCUUCCAGCCAAUUUGCAACCCAUUUGACAGUGUAGGCAUCGACACCACAGUUGCCUAAUUUUUUAAUGAGUGUGGGGUGAGAGACAGUGUCAAAGGCCUUCCUAAAGUCCAGAAAGACUACGUCCACAGUGAUACCUGCAUCCAAGGAUUUUGUGACCUGGUCAUAGAAGGCCACCAGGUUGGUCUGACAGAACCUGCCCUUAAUGAACCCAUGUUGGUUGCCCCUAAGCAUAAUCUCCUCUGCUGGUCCCUCGCAGAUGUGCUCCUGGAUAAUUUUCUCAAACAGCUUCCCCAGGACCAAGGUUGGUUGAUCUCACAUGGCGAGCUUUAAACUAGCCUCGACAGGGAAGGGGGCUGCAGGAAGACGUGGAGACAACCGAGCAAGACAGGUAACAUGUGCAAGGAGUGCCCAGGGACCGGGACUCCCCCACCGUGAUACAAGACAGACUCGAGGGGAAUGCCUCAAGACCUAAGGUUGAGAAGGACUGGGUUAGAGUGCUUCUGGAGGGGCUGGACGUGUUCAAAUCAGCAGGUCCAGAUGCUCUCCACCCCAGGGUGUUGAGGGAGCUAGCAGGGGUUAUUGCAGGGCCCUUGGCACGGCUUUACGAAAGCUUGUGGUGCUCAGGCCAGGUGCCAGAUGAUUGGAAGAUAGCCAAUGUGGUCCCCAUCUUUAAGAAAGGGAGGAGGGAGGACCCAGGCAACUAUAGCCCCGUCAGUCUUACCUCAAUCCUGGGGAAACUCUUUGAGAAGAUCAUCAAGGAGCACAUGUGUGAUGGGCCAGCAUCGGGGAUGAUGCUUAGGGGCAACCAGCAUGGUUUCAUUAGGAGCAGGUCAUGUCAGACAAACCUGAUUGUCUUUACGAGCAGGUCACAAAAGCAUUGGAUGCAGGUGUCGCCGUGGAUGUAGUCUUUCUGGACUUCAGCAAGGCCUUUAACACUGUCGACCACCCCAUCCUCAUUAAAGAACUAGGUGACUGUGGCAUUGAUGCCUACACGGUCAAAUGGAUUGCAAAUUGGCUGAAGGGUCAUACUCAGAGGGUGGUGGUGGAUGAGUCAUAUUUGCUCUGGGGGUAAGUGGCAGUGAAGUCCCCCAGGGCUCGGUCCUUGGCCUGCACUGUUCAAUUUCUUUAUCAGCUAUUUGGACAGCGGGGUGAAAAGCAACCUGUUUAAAUUUGCUGAAGAUACCAAAAUUUGGGGUGAGGUGGGCACGUUAGCAGGGAGGGAAAGACUGCAGGAAGACCUGGAGAGGUUGCAGGGGUGGGCUAACAAAAACAGGAUGCGUUUCAAUACUGACAAGUGCAGGGUGCUGCACUUGGGCAGUAGUAACCAGCAGCACACUUAUAAGAUGGGAAACUCCCUUCUUGAGAGCACGGAGGCAGAAAGGGAUCUUGAAGUCAUUAUUGACUCCAAGAUGAACAUGGGCCGACAAUGCGAGGUCGCGGUCGACAGGGCCAACUGGACCUUAUCGUGCAUCCACAGGUGCAUGUCAAGUAGGGCCAAGGAGGUGAUCCUCCCCCUGCAUGCAACACUGGUCAGGCCACAGCUGGAGUACUGUGUCCAGUUCUGGGCACCCCACUGCAAGAGGGAUGUGGACAACAUUGAGAGGGUCCAGAGGAGGGCCACCCGCAUGAUCCGGGGACAGCAAGGCAGACCCUACACUGAGAGGCUACGGGACCUGAACAUGUUCAGCCUUCACAAGAGAAGGCUGAGGGGGGAUCUUGUGACUGUCUAUAAUCUCACUAGGGGGGACCAGAAGGGUUUGGGGGAGACCUUGUUUUUCCUAGCGCCCCCCGGGAUAACAAGGAAUAACAGCCACAAGUUGUUGGAGAGUAGGUUUAGAUUGGACAUCCAUAAGAAAUACUUCACAGUCAGGGCGGCUAGGAUCUGGAACCGACUUCCAAGGGAAGUGGUGCUGGCUCCUACCCUGGGGGUCUUUAAGAAGCGGCUUGAUGCCAACCUGGCUGCAGUCAUUUGAGCCCAGUUUUCCUCCUGCCCAGGCAGGGGGUUGGACUUGAAGAUCUACAAGGUCCCUUCCAACCCUACUUGUAAGAUUCUAUGUUUCUAUGAAAGAUGGGAUUCCUCCAAGUGGCCCAAAACCCAUAGUUGGAUGCUGGUAGUGCAGAGCCCAACAGUGUAAGUGUGCAAUCAAUCGAGUAUGCUUGUUCAAUCAAAGUUUGAGUAGUUUCAAAUUUGGCUUUCCUGGAAGCUGUCUAGGACAUGCCUGAAUUUUUUCCUGAUAUCCAUUGUAAACCUACUUUGGUGUAGCUUCAAGCCAUUGGUUCAUGUCCUACUCUAUGCAGGAAGAGAAAAAAGAUAUUUCCCCUCUUCCUUAUGGAAGUCCUUCAAGUAUUUGAAGUUUGAUAUCAUGUCCACAUUGAAGUGCCUUUUUCAAAAGUGGAACAUGCCUAGAUCCUUCAGCCUCUCCUCAUAUGAAGUAGGUUUAGAUUGGAUAUCAGAAAAAAAAUCUUCACUGUUUGAAAAGUGUUUCACAGUUUUUCACUUCACUGUUUGACCACCAAACCACGUGGCACCCACAAGGACAGCCCAGCCUGAAGAAAGAGAUCAUUGGGAACCUGCAAGACGUGGGGCGGCCAGCACUACAGCACAGUUUGCAGAUGACACAAAGCUUUAGGGAGAAGUGGACACGCCGGAGGGCAGGGAACAGCUGCAGGCAGACCUGGAUAGGCUGGACAAGUGGGCAGAAAACAACAGAAUGCAGUUCAACAAGGAGAAAUGCAAAGUGCUGCACCUAGGGAGGAAAAAUGUCCAGCACACCUACAGCCUAGGGAAUGACCUGCUGGGUGGCACAGAGGUGGAAAGGGAUUUUGGAGUCCUAGUGGAAUCUAAGAUGAACAUGAGUCGGCAGUGUGACGGAGCCAUCAGAAAAGCCAAUGGCACUUUAUCGUGCAUCAGCAGGUGCAUGACGAACAGAUCCAAGGAGGUGAUACUUCUCCUCUCUCGGGCGCUGGUCAGACUGCAGUUGGAGUACUGCGUGCAAUUCUGGGCGCCGCAAUUCAAGAGGGAUGCGGAUAACCUGGAGAGGGUCCAGAGAAGGGCCCUCGUAUGGUUAAGGGCCUGCAGACCAAGCACUACGAGGAGAGACUACAGAAACUGGACCUUUUCAGCCUCCACAAGAGAAGGUUGAGAGGCGACCUUGUGGCUGCCUAUAAGUUCAUCACGGGGGCACAGAAGUGAAUUGCUGAGGAUUUAUUUACCAAGGCGCCCCCGGGGGUUUUAAGAAAUAAUGACCACAAGCUAGCAGAGAGCAGAUUUAGAUUGGACAUUAGGAAGAACUUCUUCACAGUUCGCGUGGCCAAGGCCUGGAACGGGCUCCCAAGGGAGGUGGUGUUCUCCCUACCCUGGGGGUCUUCAAGAGGAGGUUGGAUAUGCAUCUAGAAGGGGUCAUCUAGACCCAGCACUCUUUCCUGCUCUGCAGGGAGUCAGACUCGAUGAUCUAUUGAGGUCCCUUCCGACUCUAACAUCUAUGCAUCUAUGAAUCUACGAAAAGGGAGGCAGGAGAAUAGACUGUCAAGGGAAGUUGCGGACUUUCUGGCACUGAAGGUGUUCAGAAGGGGUUGGGCAGCUAUUGGUAAGGGAUGAUCUAAGCAUAGUUAUGGCUGUCUUCUUCAAUGGAUUUUUCCCAUGCUUCUGGUCUUUGCUGAUUGCCACAUGAGGUUGGGAGGGAAUUCCUCCCUCUCCCUCCACCUGACGCAGGAGGUAUAGGAUUUCACUAUGGGGCAUGCUUUGAUGGACUUGGUGCUUGCUACAGGGGAUGACCUGGUAGGGGAUCUGCAGGUACAAGGCAACUAGGGGAUAAUGACCAUCAAUUGAUUGAAUUCAUUAUCCAGCAAAGGGUGGGAAAAGUAACCAGCAGGGCAGAAGUGCUAGACUUCAGAAAGGCUGACUUCACUGUGCUUCAGAGAUUAGUUAGUGGGGCAUUAAAGCUCAAGUGCAUUGACAAAAUGGGGAUCUAGGAAGGGUGGUUGUUCUUCAAGGAAGUGAUGCUUCAGGUGCAGAAGGAGGCAAUCCCACUACAUUGAAAAGGGGGCAAAGGGGCCAAGAAACCCGCCUGGUUAAACAAGGACAUCCAGGAAAGCCUAAGGGCAAAAUAGGGGCAUACAGGCUAUGGAAGCAGGGGGUAGGUACCAAAGAGAAGUAUACCUCCUUGGCUCGCACUUGCAGGGAAUCAGUUAGGAAGGCCAAAGCAGCAUUAGAACUCAGGCUGGCGACAAAAAUUAAGGACAACAAAAUGUCCCUCUUCAGGUAUACAGGGAGCAAAAAGAAGGUGGAAGGCAGCAUAUGACCCCUGCAGGAUAGCCAAGGGCAGUUGGUGACAGGUAGGAGGGACAAAGCAGAGCUCUUCAUGGAGUUUUUUGCCUCUGUAUUCUUGUGUAAAGAGACACUUGGAGGGGCUGGACUUGUUUAAAUCAUCAGGACCGGAUGAACUCUAUCCAAGGGUGCUGAAAGACUUAGCCAGUGUCAUAGCAGAGCCACUGGUACAACUGUUUGAACACUCAUGAUGCUCAGGUGAGGUCCCAGAGGACUGGAAAAGGGCCAAUGUGGUCCCUAUUUUCAAAAAGGGGAGGAAGGAGGAUCUGGGUAACUAUUGACUGGUUAGUCUCACCUCUAUCCUUGGGAAAACCCUGGAAAUAAUUCUAAAGGAUCACAUCUGUAUGAGUCCAGAGUGUAACAUAAUGCUGAAGGGCAACCAGCAUGGGUUCAUAGCAGGCCAAUCCUGCUUGACUAAGCAUGUUUCUUUCUAUGACCAGCUCACUAAAAGCUUAUAUACAGGAAUCAAUAUAGAUGUCAUCCACUUGGACUUUAAGAAGGCCUUUGACACAGUAUCCAUCCUAUCCUUUUUAACAAAUUGAACAGCUGUGCCAUAGGCGAUUACACAGUCAUGUGGGUGGCAAAUUGGCUUAAGCGUCAUACCCAGGGAGUGGUGGUGAAUGGGUCAGUAUUGACCUCGAAAGAUGUGGGCACUUGGGUCCCCAAGACUUGGUCCUUGGGCCGGUACUGUUCAAUAUCUUCAUCAGUGACCUGAAUGACGAUGUGGAAAGCACUCUGUCUAAAUCUGUAGAUGACACCAAACUAUGGGGUCAACAGGAAAUGGGAGAUGCUUUGUUCACGAGAGCACCCCUUGGAGUAACCAGGAACAAUGGCCACAAACUGAUAGAGAGUAGAUUUAGGUUGGACACCAGGAAGAACUUUUUCACAGAUGGGGUCGCCAGAAUCUGGAAUGGGCUGCCAAGGGAGGUGGUGCUCUCCCCUACCCUGGGGGUCUUCAAGAGAAGAGUGGACAAGCACCUGGCUACAGUCACAUGACCCCAGCACUUUUUCCUGCCACUGGCAGGGGGUCGGACUCAAUGAUCCUUUGAGGUCCCUUCCAACCUUGUCAUCUUUGAAUCUAUGAAUCUAUGAAUCAGCUGCUUGUUCAGUCCAGUUCCAAAAGUGUUAGUGAAACAAAGAAAUAUGAAUCUAAAAUAACAGACUCAAAGUGUAGAUAGAUGCCUAUCAUCAAUAAUGGUAUAUCUGUCAUUGUAAGCUUGGGAAGGUUGGGGAAUGAAGAAUCUGAGGAGUCAACCAACCCGGGCUCAGUGACCUUGGUGAACUAGAGUUCAGUGAUUCUUCCUCCCAAACAUAAGUAUGUCUUUGCAUUCCCAUUGCCCAAUCUGAAUGUCAGCUAAACUUACAUUCUUUCCAAUAAAGUGAUUCUCUUGAGAAGAAGAAUGCUUUCUCUUACUUCUAAAGUCCUGCCAUACCAAAGAAGUUCCCUUUGUCCUAAGGUGUGGAUAGAGGUCUUCCAUUCAGGGAGGUGAAAUGAUUGGAAGAUCUGGAUGUAACAGUUUCUCGUUUUCCUGUCUGUAAAAUAGGACCGUUGCCAUGAGAUAAAUAUACGAAUAGUCCUGAGAAGCACUCAGAUAUUACGAUAAUAUAUGUUCCCAACACAAACUGAGAGAUCUCAUUAUAGUAGAGUUUUUUUUUAUUUUUUUUAAUUCCAAAGACUACUUGCAGGGAACCAUGUAGCAGCCAUCUAUCCCCUCCCCGCCGUUAUUUAUUCUGUGUACAUUAGGCACACGUCACACUGUUUGUUCUGACCCAAAGGAUUUACUGAUGUAAUUGAUACAUAACUUUUGUAAUAUCAUGUGAUUAAAAAUAGGACUACUAAUUUCAAUCAAAAAAUACAUAUUGUUUUUAAAAGUAUGAUAAGGCACAGGAAUGUAGAAUUAAUAAUCUUUUUGAAUACGGCUGGAAACAGUAUAAUUAAAAUGAGGUACAUUUGCA
This is a long non-coding RNA of Alligator mississippiensis (American alligator), 6430 nucleotides long. RefSeq lists it as uncharacterized. NCBI's taxonomy places the organism in Eukaryota, Metazoa, Chordata, Crocodylia, Alligatoridae. The transcript is spliced from 4 exons. The record is from RefSeq and is a predicted model, not a curated record.